This 525-nucleotide ribosomal RNA is filed under the name Triticum aestivum (bread wheat). RNAcentral's name for it is "partial small subunit ribosomal RNA". The record is from RNAcentral. Lineage: Eukaryota; Viridiplantae; Streptophyta; Magnoliopsida; Poales; Poaceae.
CCGACAUUGAACAUAGCUAGGGGGCUAUGGAAAGUGUCCACCCCCCUCAAAAUUAAAGUCUUCCUUUGGCAAAUGUUCCGCGACCGGCUCCCGUCCUCUAACAACAUAGCAAAACGAAACGGGUUGUCCGAUGGCAAUUGUGUGAUGUGUGGCGCGCACGAGGAUGCAAACCAUAUCUUCUUCAAUUGCCAUCUCGCUCGCUUCGCUUGGAGUGCGGUCCGGGAAGCCUUUGAUCAAAAUUGGAACCCCCACUCGAUUAGUGACCUCCACGUCAUACUUCUGGCCCAUUGGGGUGGGUUCAGUAGAGUGCUUUGGAGAUGCGUAGGGGCGCUUUUAUGGGCUCUAUGGACAACUAGAAACAAAAUCACCAUAGAACACAAAUUUCCCUCUCACCCCGCUGACAUUGUUUUCAAAUGCCAUUUGUUCCUCCAGACUUGGAUGCCGUUGGGGAAAAGGUGGGACGCUGAGCGGAUGCAGGAGGCGAUGGAGUGGAUUCGACUGAUCCAGAUUGCGGCACGCCACUAG